This 222-nucleotide unclassified non-coding RNA is filed under the name Agoseris heterophylla. Lineage: Eukaryota; Viridiplantae; Streptophyta; Magnoliopsida; Asterales; Asteraceae. The record is from RNAcentral.
AUCRCUCGCCCCCCACCAUGCAUUCCUUAUAGGAUGAGCGGCUUUGGGGCGGAGAUUGGUCUCCCGUGCUUUGUGUGCGGUUGUCCUAAACAUAAGUCACCUUUGGUGGACGCACAACUAGUGGUGGUUGAAUAGACCCUCGUCUUUUGUUGUGCGUCGUAAGCCGUGAGGGAUGACUUUGAUGAAGACCCUAACGUGUCGUCCUUGGACGAUGCUUCGACC